Molecule: ribosomal RNA, 230 nt
Filed under: uncultured bacterium
Lineage: Bacteria
Description: partial 16S ribosomal RNA
Rfam family: Bacterial small subunit ribosomal RNA
Source: RNAcentral
UGAGCAAUCUGCCCUUCUCAUCGGAAUAAGCGUUGGAAACGACGUCUAAUGCCGAAUACGACCUCCUUUCGCAUGAUCGGAGGUGGAAAGCUCCGGCGGUGAAGGAUGAGCUCGCGGCCUAUCAGCUUGUUGGUGAGGUAAUAGCUCACCAAGGCGAUGACGGGUAGCCGGCCUGAGGAGGGUGACCGGCCACACGUGGGACUGAGACACGGCCCAGACCUGUACGGGGA